ACUCCGCUUGAUCCUGGCGGACCCAACUGCUAUCGGGGUGAGACUAAGCCAUGCAAGUCUGCGCCUCUAGCUAUGGUGAGGCGCGGCGCACGGCUCAGUAACACGUGGCUAACUUACCCUUGGGACGGGGACACUCCCGGGAAACUGGGAUUAAUCCCCGAUAGGCAAGAUAACCUGGAACGGUUUCUUGCCUAAAGGAAGUUGAAACCAUGCUUUCAGCUUCGCCCAAGGAUAGGGCCGCGUCCGAUCAGGUUGCUGGUGGGGUAACGGCCCACCAGGCCUAUAACCGGUACGGGCCGUGAGAGCGGUAGCCCGGAGAUGGACCCUGAGACAAGGGUCCAGGCCCUACGGGGCGCAGCAGGCGCGAAACCUCCGCAAUGCGCGCAAGCGUGACGGGGUCACCCCGAGUGCCGUCCGCUGAGGAUGGCUUUUCCUCGGUCUAACCAGCCGAGUGAAUAAGGGGGGGGCAAGUCUGGUGUCAGCCGCCGCGGUAAUACCAGCUCCCCGAGUGGUUGGGACGAUUAUUGGGUCUAAAGCAUCCGUAGCCGGCCGAGGAAGUUCUCCGUUAAAUCCAGCGAUUCAAUCGUUGGACUGCGGAGAAUACUCCUCGGCUAGGGGGCGGGGGAGGCCGGCGGUAGUCCCGGGGUAGGGGCGAAAUCCUAUAAUCCCGGGAGGACCACCAGUGGCGAAGGCGGCCGGCCAAAACGCGCCCGACGGUGAGGGACGAAAGCUGGGGGAGCGAACGGGAUUAGAUACCCCGGUAGUCCCAGCUGUAAACGAUGCGGACUAGGUGUCGGAAUGGCUACGAGCCAUCCCGGUGCCGCAGGGAAGCCGUUAAGUCCGCCACCUGGGGAGUACGGCCGCAAGGCUGAAAUACCAAGAAGCUUGAAAAAUUCUCUAUUAACUUAUAAAAAUCGUUUAAAUUCGGUUUUUCUACUAUUUCUUUUAAUAGCCCAGCAAUAUUGUAGCUAAUUUAAAUAUUUUAGUUUCUUAAUGCGGCUUAAUUGGACUCAACCUCUACUUUUCUACUAAUAUAUGAUAACUUGAUUAUCAGAGAUAACGAAUUCCUUAAUAAAACUUAAUUAUGUGAUACUCAAUCUUCUUGGUACAGCAAACUUAAAGGAAUUGGCGGGGGAGCACCACAAGGGGUGAAGCCUGCGGCUUAAUUGGAGUCAACCCCGGGAAUCUUACCAGGGGAGACAGCGGAAUGAAGGCCAGAUUAAAGGUCUUGCCAGACUAGCUGAGAGGAGGCGCAUGGCCGUCGCCAGUUCGUGCCGUGAGGUGUUCUCUUAAGUGAGACAACGAACGAGACCCGUGCCCUUAGUUGCUAACGGUCUCCUUCGGGAGAUCGUGCACACUAAGGGGACUGCCUCCGCUAAGGAGGAGGAAGGAGCGGGCCACGGCAGGUCAGUAUGCCCCGAAUCCCCUGGGCCGCACGCGGGCUGCAAUGGCUGGGACAAUGGGUUCCAACCCCGAAAGGGGGAGGUAAUCCCUAAACCCAGCCUCAGUUGGGAUCGAGGGCUGUAACUCGCCCUCGUGAACAUGGAAUCCCUAGUAACCGCGUGUCAUCAUCGCGCGGUGAAUACGUCCCUGCUCCUUGCACACACCGCCCGUCGCUCCACCCGAGCUUAGUUUAGGCGAGACGUAGCCAUAAGGUUGCGCCGAACCUAAACUAGGUGAGGGGGGAGAAGUCGUAACAAGGUAGCCGUAGGGGAACCUGCGGCUGGAUCACCUCCU
Molecule: ribosomal RNA, 1737 nt
Filed under: Candidatus Bathyarchaeota archaeon
Lineage: Archaea; Thermoproteati; Candidatus Bathyarchaeota
Description: bacterial SSU rRNA
Rfam family: Archaeal small subunit ribosomal RNA
Source: RNAcentral